RNAcentral lists this ribosomal RNA (486 nucleotides) under uncultured bacterium. Its description in RNAcentral is "bacterial SSU rRNA". It matches the Rfam family "Bacterial small subunit ribosomal RNA", at positions 33 to 507 of the family's 1533-position model. The record is from RNAcentral.
GACGACGCUGGCGGCGUGGAUUAGGCAUGCAAGUCGAACGGUAUCAUCCUUUCGGGGGUGAGAGAGUGGCGAACUGGUGAGUAACACGUAGGUUAUCUACCCUCAAGACGGGGACAACCCAGGGAAACUUGGGCUAAUACCGGAUGUGAGCAACUUUUAGUUGUUUGAAAGGUGGCGUAAGCUGUCGCUUGGGGAUGAGCCUGCGUCCUAUUAGUUAGUUGGUGAGGUAACGGCUCACCUAGGCAAUGACAGGUAGGCGGCCUUAACGGGUGGUCGCCCACACUGGGAUUGAGAUACGGCCCAGACUCCUACGGGAGGCAGCAGUCGAGAAUAGUCUACAAUGGUCGGAAGACUGAUAGUGCGACGCCGCGUGAACGAUGAAUCCCUUCGGGGUGUAAAGUUCUUUUAUAUGUGAGCAGUGCUUCUUAUAUUAACAGUAUGGGGAGAGAGAUAUUAGCAUAUGAAUAAGCAACGGCUAACUCCGUG